This 1970-nucleotide long non-coding RNA is filed under the name Theobroma cacao (cacao). RNAcentral describes it as "long non-coding RNA (TCAC_LNC006026)". Lineage: Eukaryota; Viridiplantae; Streptophyta; Magnoliopsida; Malvales; Malvaceae. The record is from RNAcentral.
AACUAUUUGAAUAAAAUAAAAAUAUUCAAUAAAAUAUUCUAAUUUCUUGUAAAACAAUAUUUAUAGAGUCAUCGGUAAUUAAUUUUUUUUGUAAUGUAAAAGCUAAAAAAAUUCAUACGUACUACAAUACAGAUAACCGGGAUAUGAAAUUUACUUUACAGUGACUCGUGGGCCCACAAGGAACAAAAGUGCACAAAGGUAGUAAACCUACAGUUUUUGGAGUAGUAAAGCCGACUAUAGCCUUCGACGAUAUUACCUAUCUACACACUAUCCUGAGCCUGAAAUGGGUGGAAAUGAGGGUGGUGAGAUUAUAUAAUCCCAGUGAGUAAACAAAUACCAUCUAAAAUAUCUAAAGCCGAGUAAAUAGAUACAAUUAAAAUAAAUCAUCAUACUAUAAUUUCAUUACCUUUCAACUUAUUUCAACCAAAUAAACAACUAGGCUUAUGAUUUCCUGAAAGCUUGGCUCGUGCCAAAAAUCAUUCUCAUACUCAGUUAUCAGGGAUGCCUUGAUCGAGGGCUAUAUCAAUCGAGUCCGUCAAGGUUGUUAAAAAGUCAUGUACGCAUAAAUUAUGUUUUUAUUUUGAAAACAUAACCGUUCCUUGGCGUUGGCUGAGUUCACCCUCACGUGGUGGUUUGGCGCAAAGUGAAUUCUAAAAGUGUUAGCCUCAGGAGUUUUCCACCUGCGCCUCUCAUAUUGAGGUAAGAUAUAACAGGGUUUACCGUGCCCCUCUAAUAGGCUGGUCCACGAAAACCCGCCCACUGCAGUAAGCUCAUCAUUAUCCCACCAAUCACUAAAAUUCAAUAACAUGAUAUGGCAAUUAUUGUAAUUCACAGCCUUUCAAGGCUAAAUACACAGUUCAUAUAUUUCAACACAAAUACCAAUUCAGCCAUUCAUACAAAUAUUGUCAUAAGCCAGUCAAUUCAAACCAUGAAUUUACAACACCUUAAGUGGUCUCCAGUUACUCUAUUUUCAAAGUCAUCAUUCAAUUUCAAGACAAUUUAUAAAAUCAUUUUAUUUAAACACGUUUUGUUUGUAAAUAGAAAGAUUUACCAUUUAAACUCAUUUUCCAUAAAAUCCACAAAAUCGAAUAAAAAUCACUCUAGAUAAUUAAGACGAUAGUAAGGUUACUCACUGUACUAGGAGUUCGAUAUACUCCUAUUCCCAGUCUUCGGGCACAAUCUCUUUACCUUUAUUAGAGGGCUCACCACUUAUACAUCAUACGUGACAUGAAUUUCAAUAAAUUGUGUCAAUUUAUCAUAAACUAUUUCAGGCUCUCUAAAUCUAAAUGAAUGCAUGCGAUGGGAUGCAAAAUGUCCGAUUAAUCACGUAAAUGUGAUAUUCGACCUAAGUCACACUAUACUCGGUCUAAUCGGUUAAAAUCUCCAAUUUAAUUCCAAAUCAAUUCUUCUCACUUUCUACACUCCAAUUAUACCUAAAUUACCUCAGUGACUGUGAAUGAGAUUCAAUUUAUCAGUCCCGGUUCAAUAAUCACACAUGUCUAUACAUUAAGCAAAAAUUCAGAUUUUCACACCAAAGUUUCCCAUUUAAUUUCUAGCCUCACCAAACAUCAAAUAUCACCAAAAUAUCAUGAAAUAUCAUCAAUUUCAACCACAAUAUCCUCCCUAGAAAAUUUGGCCAAUGAUUGGUAAUGGGAGAAAAUGAAUUUUUCUUGUUGGUUUGUUUCUAGACAUGAUAAACUAACUAAAAACACUAACAUAACUUAGAAUCAAAUCAAUCCAACUUCAUUCUCUCUCCAUACCCAUUCCAACCAGCCAUGAAUUCACCAUGAAAACAUGAAAUCUAACCAUGGAAAAUGAAAAAGAAAGCAUGGGUACUGUAAAUCACAAGUCAAAAUAAAAAAAAUUUACCUUUAUUAGCUUAAUCCCUUGAAAUCCCACACUUUUUCUUCAAUUUUCCCACCUAGGGUUCUUGUUUUUUUCCUUUCCUCCUUUGUUCUUCUUUGGCCGGC